GGUGGUGCAUGGUUGUCGUCAGCUCGUGUCGUGAGAUGUUGGGUUUAAGUCCCGCAACGAGCGCAACCCUUAUUAUCAGUUGCCAGCAUUCAGUUGGGCACUCUGGUGAGACUGCCGGUGACAAACCGGAGGAAGGUGGGGAUGACGUCAAAUCAUCAUGCCCCUUAUGACCUGGGCUACACACGUGCUACAAUGGACGGUACAACGAGUCGCGAAGUCGUGAGGCUAAGCUAAUCUCUUAAAGCCGUUCUCAGUUCGGAUUGUAGGCUGCAACUCGCCUACAUGAAGUUGGAAUCGCUAGUAAUCGCGGAUCAGCAUGCCGCGGUGAAUACGUUCCCGGGCCUUGUACACACCGCCCGUCACACCAUGAGAGUUUGUAACACCCAAAGCCGGUGAGAUAACCUUCGGGGGGUCAGCCGUCUAAGGUGGGACAGAUGAUUAGGGUGAAGUCGUAACAAGGUAAGCGUACGUGU
Molecule: ribosomal RNA, 473 nt
Filed under: uncultured bacterium
Lineage: Bacteria
Description: bacterial SSU rRNA
Rfam family: Bacterial small subunit ribosomal RNA
Source: RNAcentral